UGGGGAAUAUUGCACAAUGGGCGAAAGCCUGAUGCAGCAACGCUGCGUGAGUGAUGAAGGUCUUCGGAUUGUAAAGCUCUGUCUUUUGGGACGAUAAUGACGGUACCAAAGGAGGAAGCCACGGCUAACUACGCGCCAGCAGCCGCGGUAAUACGUAGGUGGCGAGCGUUGUCCGGAUUUACUGGGCGUAAAGGGUGCGUAGGCGGAUGUUUAAGUGAGAUGUGAAAUACCCGGGCUUAACUUGGGUGCUGCAUUUCAAACUGGAUAUCUAGAGUGCAGGAGAGGAGAAUGGAAUUCCUAGUGUAGCGGUGAAAUGCGUAGAGAUUAGGAAGAACACCAGUGGCGAAGGCGAUUCUCUGGACUGUAACUGACGCUGAGGCACGAAAGCGUGGGUAGCAAACAGGAUUAGAUACCCUGGUAGUCCACGCCGUAAACGAUGAGUACUAGGUGUAGGAGGUAUCGACCCCUUCUGUGCCGCAGUAAACACAUUAAGUACUCCGCCUGGGAAGUACGAUCGCAAGAUUAAAAC
This 529-nucleotide ribosomal RNA is filed under the name uncultured bacterium. RNAcentral describes it as "partial 16S ribosomal RNA". It matches the Rfam family "Bacterial small subunit ribosomal RNA", at positions 355 to 900 of the family's 1533-position model. The record is from RNAcentral.